RNAcentral lists this ribosomal RNA (555 nucleotides) under Candida tropicalis. Its description in RNAcentral is "partial large subunit ribosomal RNA". It matches the Rfam family "Eukaryotic large subunit ribosomal RNA", at positions 52 to 612 of the family's 3401-position model. The record is from RNAcentral. Lineage: Eukaryota; Fungi; Ascomycota; Pichiomycetes; Serinales; Debaryomycetaceae.
GGAGGAAAAGAAACCAACAGGGAUUGCCUUAGUAGCGGCGAGUGAAGCGGCAAAAGCUCAAAUUUGAAAUCUGGCUCUUUCAGAGUCCGAGUUGUAAUUUGAAGAAGGUAUCUUUGGGUCUGGCUCUUGUCUAUGUUUCUUGGAACAGAACGUCACAGAGGGUGAGAAUCCCGUGCGAUGAGAUGAUCCAGGCCUAUGUAAAGUUCCUUCGAAGAGUCGAGUUGUUUGGGAAUGCAGCUCUAAGUGGGUGGUAAAUUCCAUCUAAAGCUAAAUAUUGGCGAGAGACCGAUAGCGAACAAGUACAGUGAUGGAAAGAUGAAAAGAACUUUGAAAAGAGAGUGAAAAAGUACGUGAAAUUGUUGAAAGGGAAGGGCUUGAGAUCAGACUUGGUAUUUUGUAUGUUACUUCUUCGGGGGUGGCCUCUACAGUUUAUCGGGCCAGCAUCAGUUUGGGCGGUAGGAGAAUUGCGUUGGAAUGUGGCACGGCUUCGGUUGUGUGUUAUAGCCUUCGUCGAUACUGCCAGCCUAGACUGAGGACUGCGGUUUAUACCUAGGA